Brassica oleracea var. oleracea is the source of this 716-nucleotide long non-coding RNA. RefSeq lists it as uncharacterized. NCBI's taxonomy places the organism in Eukaryota, Viridiplantae, Streptophyta, Magnoliopsida, Brassicales, Brassicaceae. The transcript has 2 exons. The record is from RefSeq and is a predicted model, not a curated record.
GAGGAACAAAAGAAUGAUAGAAAUAGAUCUGUUAUGGUUCAGAGCACAACAGAUUUAGAUUUAAGUAUGUGGAGCUCAUCAACAAAUUGAACAAGUACAAUUCCAAAGUUUAACAUCUUGGGGGUAAUGGCGGAUGGGAGUUAUAGGUUGCUGAAACGAGAGCGCUGAAGAAGGAUUUAACAAAUAAGGUACAAGCUUCAUUUCAUAAACAUUAACACACAGUCUUUGCGUUGGCUGAUGGAACAAGCUUUAUUUUUCUUUGUGGUUACAUGAAUCUACUUGCUACUGGUUCGGGUUUGGUUUUGAACAUGUUUCUGAGAUUGACCUUGACAAAGAUCCGCUAAAGAAGGACGGUUGUUCUUGAACGCCACGUCAGGGAGCAAUAUAUUUUUUUGACAAAGAGACUAAUGCAGGGGAGAACAUUGAUUGUGGGAACAUCUUCAAGUGGUCUCACCUCCAAAAGGUGGACGUAAGUGGUAAGAUCGUUGGAAAUCAGCAACUGUGAGAACAUCUUCAAGUGGACUCCCCUCCAAAAGGGUAGCAAUAGCAACUACCAAGGUGACCAAGAAGGACGAGUGGCUUAAGUGAAGAUGAUAAAUUACCUGGAUGCAGUUCUUUUUGAAUAAUGCUUAUGUAUCGAUGUUGUUUUCCUUCUUUUUUAACCUUUGAGUACUUAUGUUUUUGAAACUCUCUAUAAAAUGCUUAUUUAUCAAAUU